RNAcentral lists this transfer RNA (77 nucleotides) under Aeromonas hydrophila. RNAcentral describes it as "tRNA-Pro". It matches the Rfam family "tRNA". Rfam says of the family: Transfer RNA (tRNA) molecules are approximately 80 nucleotides in length. Their secondary structure includes four short double-helical elements and three loops (D, anti-codon, and T loops). RNAcentral also lists the same sequence under 1 other name. Lineage: Bacteria; Pseudomonadati; Pseudomonadota; Gammaproteobacteria; Aeromonadales; Aeromonadaceae. The record is from RNAcentral.
CCGCCUUUAGCGCAGCCUGGUAGCGCAUCUGGUUUGGGACCAGAGGGUCGCAGGUUCGAACCCUGCAAGGCGGACCA